AAGAAGUCAGGCCAGAUUAAGCCAUAGUACGGAAAGAGCUAUGCUGCCUGUGAGCCCCGUCC
Molecule: long non-coding RNA, 62 nt
Filed under: dengue virus type 1
Lineage: Riboviria; Orthornavirae; Kitrinoviricota; Flasuviricetes; Amarillovirales; Flaviviridae
Description: dengue virus type I partial sfRNA1
Source: RNAcentral